UACAGAGGUGGCAAGCGUUGUUCGGAAUUACUGGGCGUAAAGGGCGCGUAGGCGGCCUUCUUAGUCGGACGUGAAAUCCCCAGGCUCAACUUGGGAACUGCGUCCGAUACUGGAUGGCUUGAGUGCGGGAGAGGGAUGUGGAAUUCCAGGUGUAGCGGUGAAAUGCGUAGAUAUCUGGAGGAACACCGGUGGCGAAGGCGGCAUCCUGGACCGACACUGACGCUGAGGCGCGAAAGCAUGGGGAGCGAACGGG
This 253-nucleotide ribosomal RNA is filed under the name uncultured bacterium. Its description in RNAcentral is "partial 16S ribosomal RNA". It matches the Rfam family "Bacterial small subunit ribosomal RNA", at positions 524 to 776 of the family's 1533-position model. The record is from RNAcentral.